CUUUAAUGUUGGUCAAACUUUCAGUCAUAAGUUGUAUAAGUUGGCUCUAAUGUACAGCAUGGUGACUAUAGUUAAUAAUACUGUAUUGUUUACUUAACAUUUGCUGAAAGAGUAGACCUUAGGUACUGUUUGGAAAACUCUGCCCCUACCGCAAAAUCUCUCUCUUUCCCUCCCCCCACAAAGAGGCUCCCUUAUCUCUCACUUUACAUACCGGUCCUAGCCCUCCCGCCGCCCAGCUUCCCGCCGCCCAGCUUCCCACCCAGCAGUUCAAACUGACCAACAGUUGCCCACCACCUCGGCUUUUGGCUUCCCCACCCCCCAGCCCUUCAGCCCCCUAUAAAACAACCCUGCCCCUCUGAGCAGCGCGGCCAUUUUUCCUUUUCGUCCCAGCUGGCCCGCCCGGAGGCUCUUUCCUCUCAAUAAAGCCUGAACUUAAGGAAUUUCCUCUAGCCUGCGGUCCGGUUUCUUUCCCAAUGAGCCCAGUCUUCCCGCAGAGGGUAGGUCGGACAAAUGGUGCCGAAACCCGGGACGGGAGCUGGGGCCGUUGGCCCGGCCACGGCCCCCCUCCCCGACCUACCCAACACUGGCCCUGCCACCUCCACGUUCCGAUUAAGGCUGGAUUGAAGCUUACCCCACAGCCUCUGAGUCUGCCGGGACAGUAGCCACUCAUCUCAUUCAAGACAUCAUCCCACGCUUUGGACUCCCAGCUACCAUACAGUCAGACAACGGCCUAGCCUUUAUCUCCAAAGUCACUAAUGCCGUUUCUACCAGGAAUUCAGUAGAAGCUACAUGCUGCCUACCAUCCCCAGUCCUCUGGUAAGGUAGAACGGGCCAAUGGCCUAAUAAAGGAGCAUCUGACCAAGCUCAUGCUUGAGCUCCGCCAAUCCUGGGUAACCUUACUUCCUAUCGCCCUCACCAGAGUAAGAGCAAGCCCCCGGGGCCCAUCACAGCUUAGCCCAUUUGAGCUGCUGUAUGGUUGCCCCUUCCUGCUUUCAACUCCCCCACCACCAGAGACUACUCCUCUAGACAGCUACCUCCCCUACUUUACUCAGGAUUAGGAGGAGGGGCACUAGUCCACUCUCACCUGGCCAUAGCCCGACUGACCUCACAACUCCAAGCGGCUAUUGAUGACUCUACUGAGUCUUUAGCAUCACUCCAACGACAGAUCACCUCAGUUGCCCAAGUUGCCUUGCAGAACCGAAGAGCCCUGGACCUGCUCACUGCUGAACGAGGAGGGACCUGUAUCUUCCUACAAGAAGAGUGCUGUUACUACAUCAAUGAAUCCGGCCUAGUAGAAACCCGAAUCGAGAGCCUCCAGAAACUCAAAACUAACCUGCAGAGUCAGAAGUUCUCGGCUGAAGCCACGGCGUGGUGGUCUUCCUCUAUGUAUACCCUCUUGUCCCCAUUGCUUGGGCCCCUAGUAGCUGUUUGCCUAAUCUUACUUAUUGCUCCUUGCUUUCUACAGUUCCUAUAGCGGCGCUUUCAAGAACUGACUCGAGUCACCAUCCACCAGAUGCUGCUCCAACCCUACCCUGAACGAGUGCAAGAAACAGACCUCUCCCCGAACAUCCAGGCUCCUUAGGAAAAGAGACCUCUUCAGAACCCCCCGUCGACCCUUGUCAGCAGGAAGUAGCUAGAGAGACAACUGACGCCCCUGACCCCCUCUUUUUCUUUUCUUUAAGGAGUCGGGAAUGUUUGGAAAACUCUGCCCCUACCGCAAAAUCUCUCUCUUUCCCUCCCCCCACAAAGAGGCUCCCUUAUCUCUCACUUUACAUACCGGUCCUAGCCCUCCCGCCGCCCAGCUUCCCGCCGCCCAGUUUCCCACCCAGCAGUUCAAACUGACCAACAGUUGCCCACCACCUCGGCUUUUGGCUUCCCCACCCCCCAGCCCUUCAGCCCCCUAUAAAACAACCCUGCCCCUCUGAGCAGCGCGGCCAUUUUUCCUUUUCGUCCCAGCUGGCCCGCCCGGAGGCUCUUUCCUCUCAAUAAAGCCUGAACUUAAGGAAUUUCCUCUA
Molecule: non-coding RNA, 2015 nt
Organism: Callithrix jacchus (white-tufted-ear marmoset)
Lineage: Eukaryota; Metazoa; Chordata; Mammalia; Primates; Cebidae
Source: RefSeq, a predicted model, not a curated record